UUCUGUGUGUAUUAAUUUCAGUGUGGUAGUAAAAAACAAAAUUAGUACGAACAUUCUAGACUUAGUAAAAAGUUUGCAUCAUCAAGCUUUGUGCCAGCCAGCGUGUUCACUACGCGUACUUUGUGUCUUACCUGCUGACGUGACUCUUGAGAAGUGACACCGCGGAACCGCGCAGAUGCUGCUGGGGCUGCUGGCCCGCUAGGAUCUGCUGCUUCCUUAGCAGGGAACGUUGAACACUACCUACAUAUUACCAUAGAGAGGCUGAGGUUGUCGUGAGAAAAGGGGAGUGAGUGACCACCGCGAUGGCCAGGCACAGGAAGAUCACAAGGCCAUGGCACGAGAGCAAAUGUUAAUGGACAGCCACAGCAGCACACGAACUCAUGAACAUCCAUCAGGCCAGCAAGGGUUAGAGAGGAUGGAGAAGAGAGUUGGGCAUAGAGACACAAGGAAGGCCACCGCUGGGACUCUACGUGGACGAGGUGGACGAAGAAGAGGAAGUGGACGAGGUUGUAAGAUGGACGAUUUUGGUACUGGUGAGAUAAUGACUGUGUGUGUGUGUGUGUGUGUGUGUGUGUGUGUGUGUGUGUGUGUGUGUGUGUCGUCGUGCAUACCGGUCUGCUAUGUUAAUGAAAGUAAACACCAACUCAGAACUCAGCAAGGCAGUUACACGCAUCAUAACGCAUGCAGUGUAAUCUAUAAGGACCGUAUUCUGAGACGCUUCUUUCCGCUCCUCGACUGUAAUGUUUAAGUUUUUGUUGAUAUGUUAGUGUGGCACAAAAGUAGAAGUUCGCUUGGAGUUAGUACAUCUAAAAUCGCCGAGUUAUUUAUGUUGGCAUGUUUGGCAAGUAACAUUAGUCAUAGUUCACCGUCACAGUUGGAAAAAUAGCGAGGAAA
Molecule: long non-coding RNA, 894 nt
Organism: Portunus trituberculatus (swimming crab)
Lineage: Eukaryota; Metazoa; Arthropoda; Malacostraca; Decapoda; Portunidae
Exons: 3
Source: RefSeq, a predicted model, not a curated record